GUGGGGAAUAUUGCACAAUGGGCGCAAGCCUGAUGCAGCAACGCCGCGUGAGGGACGACGGCCUUCGGGUUGUAAACCUCUUUUAGCAGGGAAGAAGCGAAAGUGACGGUACCUGCAGAAAAAGCACCGGCUAACUACGUGCCAGCAGCCGCGGUAAUACGUAGGGUGCAAGCGUUGUCCGGUAUUAUUGGGCGUAAAGAGCUCGUAGGCGGUUUGUCGCGUCUGCUGUGAAAACCCGAGGCUCAACCUCGGGCCUGCAGUGGGUACGGACAGACUAGAGUGCGGUAGGAGAGAUUGGAAUUCCUGGUGUAGCGGUGGAAUGCGCAGAUAUCAGGAGGAACACCGAUGGCGAAGGCAGAUCUCUGGGCCGUAACUGACGCUGAGGAGCGAAAGCGUGGGGAGCGAACAGGAUUAGAUACCCUUGUAGUCC
Molecule: ribosomal RNA, 430 nt
Filed under: uncultured bacterium
Lineage: Bacteria
Description: partial 16S ribosomal RNA
Rfam family: Bacterial small subunit ribosomal RNA
Source: RNAcentral